AGAGUUUGAUCAUGGCUCAGAUUGAACGCUGGCGGCAGGCCUAACACAUGCAAGUCGAACGGUAACAGGAAGCAGCUUGCUGCUUCGCUGACGAGUGGCGGACGGGUGAGUAAUGUCUGGGAAGCUGCCUGAUGGAGGGGGAUAACUACUGGAAACGGUAGCUAAUACCGCAUAAUGUCGCAAGACCAAAGAGGGGGACCUUCGGGCCUCUUGCCAUCGGAUGUGCCCAGAUGGGAUUAGCUUGUUGGUGGGGUAACGGCUCACCAAGGCGACGAUCCCUAGCUGGUCUGAGAGGAUGACCAGCCACACUGGAACUGAGACACGGUCCAGACUCCUACGGGAGGCAGCAGUGGGGAAUAUUGCACAAUGGGCGCAAGCCUGAUGCAGCCAUGCCGCGUGUAUGAAGAAGGCCUUCGGGUUGUAAAGUACUUUCAGCGGGGAGGAAGGGAGUAAAGUUAAUACCUUUGCUCAUUGACGUUACCCGCAGAAGAAGCACCGGCUAACUCCGUGCCAGCAGCCGCGGUAAUACGGAGGGUGCAAGCGUUAAUCGGAAUUACUGGGCGUAAAGCGCACGCAGGCGGUUUGUUAAGUCAGAUGUGAAAUCCCCGGGCUCAACCUGGGAACUGCAUCUGAUACUGGCAAGCUUGAGUCUCGUAGAGGGGGGUAGAAUUCCAGGUGUAGCGGUGAAAUGCGUAGAGAUCUGGAGGAAUACCGGUGGCGAAGGCGGCCCCCUGGACGAAGACUGACGCUCAGGUGCGAAGGCGUGGGGAGCAAACAGGAUUAGAUACCCUGGUAGUCCACGCCGUAAACGAUGUCGACUUGGAGGUUGUGCCCUUGAGGCGUGGCUUCCGGAGCUAACGCGUUAAGUCGACCGCCUGGGGAGUACGGCCGCAAGGUUAAAACUCAAAUGAAUUGACGGGGGCCCGCACAAGCGGUGGAGCAUGUGGUUUAAUUCGAUGCAACGCGAAGAACCUUACCUGGUCUUGACAUCACGGAAGUUUUCAGAGAUGAGAAUGUGCCUUCGGGAACCGUGAGACAGGUGCUGCAUGGCUGUCGUCAGCUCGUGUUGUGAAAUGUUGGGUUAAGUCCCGCAACGAGCGCAACCCUUAUCCUUUGUUGCCAGCGGUCCGGCCGGGAACUCAAAGGAGACUGCCAGUGAUAAACUGGAGGAAGGUGGGGAUGACGUCAAGUCAUCAUGGCCCUUACGACCAGGGCUACACACGUGCUACAAUGGCGCAUACAAAGAGAAGCGACCUCGCGAGAGCAAGCGGACCUCAUAAAGUGCGUCGUAGUCCGGAUUGGAGUCUGCAACUCGACUCCAUGAAGUCGGAAUCGCUAGUAAUCGUGGAUCAGAAUGCCACGGUGAAUACGUUCCCGGGCCUUGUACACACCGCCGUCACACCAUGGGAGUGGGUUGCAAAAGAAGUAGGUAGCUUAACCUUCGGGAGGGCGCUUACCACUUUGUGAUUCAUGACUGGGGUGAAGUCGGAACAAGGUA
Molecule: ribosomal RNA, 1498 nt
Filed under: metagenome
Description: bacterial SSU rRNA
Rfam family: Bacterial small subunit ribosomal RNA
Source: RNAcentral